AUGCAAGCUACCGGCUAAGAAAGAACUCAUAAAGAAAUAGGCUAAUGCUCUCCAUCCAACAUAUCGCACAACUAAAUAAUCGAAGGAAAACUGAACGAUAAUAUUCCAAAAGUGCAUUAAAGUGAAAGGAAGACGGCGAACAACAAGGGGACGGAAUGCGUAGAAUAAAAGCUGGAAAGUGCAAAAAAAUGCCUUUCCAAGCACAUUAUCAAAUAAAAUAAGUUCGGCACGAGUGGGCAAAUCAGUGUCCAUACCAUCAACACCUUGAUAGGCAUGAUGUUCCAUAUGAUAGGGCCGAAAGCUUGCAGCAAAAGGAGCACCUACAGGUAAAUUAGCAAACAAACAAUAAGCACGAUUGUAAAGAGUUUUUUUAAAACCAAGGUUGUGACUCAACUCGUGAAUGGCUAAAAAGAGAUUUUGGUUGCAAAAGGCACCAAUAAAGUAGGCAGUUAAAAAGAAUUUCCAACUCAGUAGUGAACUUUGUGAAAGCAAGUAAGCACAUGUGAAUUGGAGAGACACCACGCCGAGAACAAUCCACUUGGUCAAAGGUUCAUAACCAUUGAGAGAGGCGAUCUCAGGAUGGGCCUUCAAAAUAGCAGCACGACGACUUUUAUGAGGCUCUUCCGUGUAUGUCCAGUAAAAUUGAUGAACAUCUUCACUAUCAGCAUUCCAAGACUCU
Molecule: non-coding RNA, 679 nt
Organism: Schizosaccharomyces pombe (fission yeast)
Lineage: Eukaryota; Fungi; Ascomycota; Schizosaccharomycetes; Schizosaccharomycetales; Schizosaccharomycetaceae
Source: the annotation of a GenBank genome assembly